RNAcentral lists this transfer RNA (74 nucleotides) under Thermanaerosceptrum fracticalcis. Its description in RNAcentral is "Thermoanaerosceptrum fracticalcis tRNA-Gly". It matches the Rfam family "tRNA". Rfam says of the family: Transfer RNA (tRNA) molecules are approximately 80 nucleotides in length. Their secondary structure includes four short double-helical elements and three loops (D, anti-codon, and T loops). Further hydrogen bonds mediate the characteristic L-shaped molecular structure. tRNAs have two regions of fundamental functional importance: the anti-codon, which is responsible for specific mRNA codon recognition, and the 3' end, to which the tRNAs corresponding amino acid is attached (by aminoacyl-tRNA synthetases). tRNAs cope with the degeneracy of the genetic code in two manners: having more than one tRNA (with a specific anti-codon) for a particular amino acid; and 'wobble' base-pairing, i.e. permitting non-standard base-pairing at the 3rd anti-codon position. Lineage: Bacteria; Bacillati; Bacillota; Clostridia; Eubacteriales; Peptococcaceae. RNAcentral also lists the same sequence under 1 other name. The record is from RNAcentral.
GCGGGUGUAGCUCAAUGGUAGAGCUCCAGCUUCCCAAGCUGGCGGCGUGGGUUCGAUUCCCAUCACCCGCUCCA